CAGAACAGUAGAUCAUCCUUACCAUGGUUAGAACGAGAGUGCGGUUGUAGUCUUCUCUAUACAUCGCUCACAUCGAAUCACAUUGUUUGUAGCCUAAAGGGUAGUAGCAAUAGAUUUGGUUAGUCAGAUGCACGCUUUCUCCCAGUGGUAAAAAUAUAAAUACGAUACUCUGGAUAACCUUCCGGGUGAAGUGCUCACCGAUAUCCGUGCGCUUGCGGAUCAUUUCCUGAUGGCGUUAACAAAUAUCAACAAGCAUUUCUGGCGCCGUUGCCGGGGAGAAAGACGGUUUGCUGAGAUAACUUUGAGUCUUGCUAUUAUCUUGUAUUAUACUUUUAUACUUUUAUACUUUUAUUCUUUUAUCUUUUUAUUUUUUCCAUCUUUAUGGAUAACUCAAAUUCCACACCUAUUAUUGAAUUCUUUGCACCUUCGGAGACCAGCCAUAGACCAUGGGAGUCAACAAGUCCUUUCUUUGCCCCUAAUUAUGAUCUGUGUCCAGAGUCAAUUGCGAUAGGUCAAAACCAACCCUUUUCUAUAGCCGAGGUCCUAUCUUUUAAUCAAGAAGAUAAUGAACUUUUAGCUAGACUUAGGGAAUCUUCUAAUCUUUCUAUAAAUUCUGGUUUAGACCUAGCCCUACAAGACCAUGUUUUUCCUCGAUAUUUUCGCAUUGGUCUUAAUCAUAUAACGUUUGGUAGAGUUUUUCUUUCUUUAUCUAGUAAAGCAAGGUAUAUCUUCAUUCGUGGACAUCCUUCUUGCACUAGUCUUCAUAAAAAAAUCCUAGAGAUAGAGAAGGAAUCAUCUCCCAAACGAGGAAAGGAAGUUUCAAUAGCCGAUUUCCAAACAUUUCAAUCCCAUGAUUCGGCUAUCCAACCCAAACUAGUAGUGCUCCAAAAUCAUCUAAGGGAAGAAGAAAUUCUACCUUUAGAAAUUCAUUUUGGGAUGAGCUUAAACUUCCUGCUUCAUAAGAGACCUUUGAGUGCAUAUAGUCUGAACCUUCCUAAGAGGGAUCUCUUAGAAAGCAUCUCAAAUCCAAUCCCUCUAAUGGACAUCUAGAAAGACUCAAGGAUGGCGUCUUAAGUGAUGCAAUAGAAGGAGAGCAAAGCCAUUUAGAAGACAAUCUCAUCUUCUCCCCUUCUACGCCCACUUUUGAUGACUCAUUCGAACCUAUCUUUAAACCCAUCCUUGAGCCUAAUAAUUUCUACUAUGCUCUUUCUCUUGAACCUCCCGAUGAUCAUACGAACCUCUCUAGACAUCCCAUGCAUAAGAGUCACCAAGACCAUAAGGAGGAUCGAGAAGAGCAACAUCAAUGGCUAGAGGGCAUUAAAAAUCCAUGUGCUAUCACCAUUGAAUGGAUGGACAAGGAAGAAGCCUUAAUGGAUGAGAUUCAAAUGGUGAGUUCUUGACUCCCUUUGAAGAUGAGAUUCAUCCAACUACAAAAGAGGACAUAGGUGAGAUUUCCAACCCCGUUUUCCUUUCUAUUUAUAAAAACUUUAAAAGGGCGGUUGUCGAUGCAUAUGUCUAUAAUAAAUAUUGUAGAUCUCGUUGAGUUGAUCUUGAUAUAGGUCAGCGUUGGAGGGGAAACCACUUCGCCGACAUAAAUUGAUGGUUUCCCAAGGACAAGCUUAGUAUCCUAAAAUAAGCACUGAUCGGAUCGUAACAUGAGCUUUUAAUUAUUUGCAACAUUACCUUGUGUAUUGAGUAUAUAAGGAUAAUUGUAAAAAUAUUCCUUCGGGUAUUCUUGUCACUAACCUUUCCAGGAUUGGAGCAAGAAGAUCGGAUGAAUGACAAGCACAAGGUAUGUCCAACCAAUCAUCACACAACAUUGAAUUAAAUUCAUCCAAACUUGAAUUUUGCAAAAUUCAAGCUUGGGUGAGUACUUUACAUAAAAACAUUCUUUGCCAUGUUGCUAUGUUGGUUGUCCCUACCUUUGAGACAUGCUUAAUUUGUUAAAUACUAAUCACACUACUUCAUCUCCACUUGAGUAGAUCUCUAUAAAUGCUCUCAUGCUACCUUUAUUUGCUUUAGUAUAUGUCUUGGUUUGGAGUAGUUUCAUUUAUCUCUUAAAUAAGCAUGGUGCUUAGUUUAGGAAUGAUGAUCAUACUUCCAAGGGAUUUUAAAUUAAGCAUGGUGCUUAGGUUAAAAUGCCCUCCUAAAUCAAAUUAGACAUGGUGUCUAGGUUGAUUUUUGAGCCGAUAGUAGGCUAUAGUAGAUAUUGGAUAUUUUGUUGGACUAACCCCUGUAGGAAACUUUCAAUAUCGACCUAGGAAGUCCUGAGAUAAACUCACACUAGAGAUAAAGAGAGAGACACAUGAAGUUUAACAAUUUACACAAGGAAGACAUAGCUCAUAAGAGAUGAUCCAUAGAGGGUGCCACAAACACGAAACACAAUCGCUGAGAAAGGAAAGAUUCCACAAGGAGAUACUGUACCAUCACUCUUCAAGUAAGGUAACAUCUUAAGGUACUUAACUAUCACUUUUAUAAGCUUCUCCUUGGUUCUGGCGUUCAGAAGAAUAAAGAGACAAACAUAAAUUAACCAACCCAAUUAAUUCAACAUGUUUAGACCUUUAAUCUUUGUUCUUAGUACUACCUUCAUGAUCCCACACUCCUAAUCAUAUAAGCUAAAAUGUUGCACACUCAAUCUUUGGAAGAUAUAUAUAAAAAAACAAACAAAAAACAUGAAUAUAGAUAGAUUAUCUUUCCAUUAGGUUGAGCGAUCUGAUCCGACAAAUGUUUUAAAUGCUACACUCAUGAUCUUAUUAUCCAUCAACUUUGUCUGGCUCACUAUGCUUAAGGUUAGAGAAGAACAAAUACACUUUUGGUUUUGUUGGUGUUUUCCACCAACAGGGCCCAUGCACUUGAUCUCUGCCUUGUCUCUAUGAGCAGGUACACUUCAAGCAAAACAUGGAGGAGUUUUACAACUCCCAGACUCCACCAAGUGAAGGACCUAGAUCUACGAGCACAAACACACUGAGCAGGAUAUUGCCAAUGCCGCACUUCGAACUGCUGGGCAAACGAAGAACAUAGUUGACACUGUAUCAAGAGGUGCAGACGUCAAGGUCCACACUUGGAUCAAAUGACGCACCUAAAGAAUGAACACGGUGAGAAGUCUUGUUCAGAAGACAUAAAACAUUGAACCCUCGCCGAAAGGUAAAAUCAGUAGUAAUCCAUAUUUAUCCUUUCUGCAUUUUUCCUUAAAUUAUUUACUUUCCUUAAAAAGCUUGUUUGUUAAUCAUCCUACCAUGAAAAGAAAUUAAAAAUGUUAAAAACAGUAAGCCUCAUGUGAGUAUGCUCGAGGCAUAAAACCCAUAAGUACAUUCACUGUGGUGGCGUAAAAAUAAAAUAUUCCAGUCUUAUAAAAAUGAAAAUAUAAAAUUAAAUUUAUGAUCCUACCAAAGAGAGUAACAUUUAUUGAGGAGGCUCAAUAUGAUAAAGGCUAGAUAUUUAUGCUAACAAUUAACCAGUUCCACAAAGCUUUGUUGUCUAUUUGAGCUCCACAGAAUUCAAGGAUCAAAGAAGACUAGCAAACGGAGGACAUGACAUCCUAAUCACUGUCAGGGUGCUACCGACAUUCAAAUACACCUCCACCACCUGCUAGCUACAUUAGAAGAAAUUAUGUCAAAAUCCAGCUUGGGGGAGAGCACCCCCAUUUAUCGAGCUAAGUGUUUCUACUCGCGUUUAUACUUUACUCAAAUAAUAAAAAAGAUGCAUAAUCAUAAAAACCGAAAUAAAGAUUUUGUGCUUUUAUAUAUAUCUUUGCUUAGUUUGCUAAAUAAAUAAAUAAAUAAAGUUUGCUAUGAACCCUCAUGAUAAACUCUUACAUGGAUAUGAUAAAUAGUUGCUCUGUCAUGUACCUAGUUUUCAAGUUUGAGCUCUCUCUUAAGUUUACGCAUAACUGUUAUAAUUUAAAUUUGCUCUAAACCUGAACUUGUGGGAAGAGUACCUGAUCAAAAGUCUAAGUCGUUAACGGAUAUGAUAUGGGAAGGUUGAGCUGCUGUUUAUCUAUUCCUAGAGAUACUAGAAUUCUGAUGAAUUUUAUCUUUGAAAAUCUUUAAAAUAUUGCAUGAUGAGUUCCUGUAUGAUGAGAGCUUAAAAUCCUACCACAGCCAUAUAUACAUGCUUAUUAGACUAUGAACCAUACAUUUACUUUUCACUGCUUAUGAGCAUUGAGUGUGGUCAAGCUGUGUAGAACCUUAGGAGCUUGUCAUACGGUUAAAAUCAAGAUUCACUUGCACGUUCACUCAUACAUGCUACUUCUACUUCGGAAGUACGCAUCCACAUACAUUCACUCAAUUCCAUCUUCAGAUUCACCUAAAAUUAUUUUACUCCUAUCCGGGAGAGAAUAGCCAAAAACUUUUUCCUAUCCCUGUUAUUCCCUGUGAAAUAAAUGCUCCAGUUAUUUUGGUUACUACCAGUUGCUACAUUAUUCUAGGAGGGUGAGUGCUCUAAAAAAAGAAGAAAAAAGAAAAAAAGAAGAAAAAUAUGAGGAAAUAAAAAGGGGAAAGUGCCUGGAACCUCGAAGAAAAGAAAAAGUGAGACGAGAGGUAAAAAAUGGACAAGUGUCCGAGAGUAGAAUUAGGGGUACAAGAUACCCACCUCAGAGAAAAGAAAAAGAAAAUAUAGAGCAUCUCAUUCUCCUCAAAAAAGCUUCAAACUGCAAGAAAGGUAUAUAUCCCCUAAAAAGAGCAAAACUAGAAUUAGACUUUCACAAUUGUUAUCACCAUCAUCACCAUACACCAUUCAUUCGCCACACAUGCACAUCUUGAUUUGACUUAUUGACUUGUUUCUCUAGAUCCAUGGUUUGACUAUGCAAUAAAUGUCUUGUAAGUAUGUAUGCUUUAUCUCCCACCUAUGAGCUCCAGAUAUCAAAACCCUAUUAGAGUAGGGAGAGAGAGAAGGCAAUAUCACUAUGCCUCAUACCAAAAAUACCACAUACUUUGAGAGAAGGCAUAUACCAUUACUGCCUUGGAAAGGAUCCAGAAAUACCACAAAAGAGAGAUUUGAGAAAGUCAUACAAGGAAUCUCUGAGUUUUAUUUGAAAAUCUACAAAAACUCCAGAGCUAUAGCUGAUCAAAGAACAAGAGACAUGGCGCUUGACUAGACUGUUCUAUCUUUUAACUGCUCAAGACACAAGUGACGGUUGCAAGCCCCAUGGUGAAAGGUAAAAUGAGUAAGUUUUAAGUCUUAACAGUUUACUCUAACUCAGAGAUGAGAUCUUGCUUGAAUGCAUGUGUACUUUUAAGGCAUGAAACCACUGCAGAAACUCUUGAGUCCAUCCUUGCUCAGGGACGAGCAAGAGGUAAGCUUGGGGGAGUUGUUGACGGUCCUUAAGUACCAAAUAUAAUCAUCAAAUAAAUAAAGAAAAGCAUCCAAAUGCAACCAACACCCAGACUUAGGGUUUUAUCUGACAGAAUUCCACAAGUUUUGGUGUUUGUCUAUUUCUGCAGGGGGUUAUCAGGAAAUAAUGAAAAAAUGCCCACACGUCGGGUUUACAUAGAGCUAUUAACAUGUCGUGCAAUUUUCUAUCAUCUAGAAGACUCCAGAAGCCACGAGAACGAACGGGAGACCGAUCGAGCCCGGGGGCAGGGCGCCCGCCCACCUCUAGUGGCCAAUCAGGGUGAAUCACGCGGAUUAUGCUCCACGGCCUUUAAGGAACAAGGAAAACCAUGCGAUUAAGGUUGGUUUGAUCCAACGGCCCACGUUCAUUUGGAGGGCCUAUAUAAGCUGGCCCCCUGGCCCCUGGAGGAGAGCAAUCCCCAUUAUUCAUUAGCAUAUUUUCUAGAGAGGAUUCAGAGAUAGAUGUUCCUUAGGGUUCCCACCUCAUAGGGCUUAGCAUCCAAUGUGAGAGUAGAAUUAUUUCUACUAGAUUGAGAGAGAUAGAGUGGAGGUGUAGAUCGGAGGAAGCUCGGUCUGUCGGUGUCUACUCCGAGGUUGUACCUGCGGGAUCAAGUCUCCUAACCCGAGGCUUGCUCCUAGGAUUCUUCAGUAUUUCGACUUUUAACUUCUAGUAAGUUCUUUGUUUUAUUGUUCUUUGGUUUAUGAGUUUACUUUGAUCUCUUCGCGUAGAGUUUAGAGUAAUCAUCUCUAGCAUAAACUUGGUUUUUAGGCUAGGAUACUCAUAGAUAUCCCGUGUCUAGCCGGACCGUGGUAGUAGCGAGGAACGUUACAUUUCCAAGUUACCUUUGUAGCCCAUAUUCCAUUAGCAGGAUCGAUAGGGUUUAUAGGUGCGGGUCGAACAUCCUCUGUGGUGUCUAGAUUCCAUUAGCCUCCCCAACAGAACAGUAGAUCAUCCAUACCAAGGUUAGAAUGAGAGUGCGGUUGUAGUCUUCUCUAUACAUCGCUCACAUCGAAUCACAUUGUUUGUAGCCUAAAGGGUAGUAGCAAUAGAUUUGGUUGGUCAGGUGCACGCUUUCUCCCAGUGGUAAAAAUAUAAAUACGAUACUCUGCAUAACCUCGUGGGUGAAGUGCUCACCGAUAUCCUGCGCUUGCGGAUCAUUUCCUCAUGGCAUUAACAAAUAUCAACAAGCAUUUCUGGCGCCGUUGCCGGGGAGAAAGACGGUUUGCUGAGAUAACUUUGAGUCUUGCUAUUAUCUUGUAUUAUACUUUUAUACUUUUAUUCUUUUAUCUUUUUAUUUUUUUCCAUCUUUAUGGAUAACUCAAAUUCCACACCUAUUAUUGAAUUCUUUGCACCUUCGGAGACCAGCCAUAGACCAUGGGAGUCAACAAGUCCUUUCUUUGCCCCUAAUUAUGAUCUGUGUCCAGAGUCAAUUGCGAUAGGUCAAAACCAACCCUUUUCUAUAGCCGAGGUCCUAUCUUUUAAUCAAGAAGAUAAUGAACUUUUAGCUAGACCUAGGGAAUCUUUUAAUCUUUCUAUAAAUUCUGGUUUAGACCUAGCCCUACAAGACCAUGUUUUUCCUCGAUAUUUUCACAUUAGUCUUAAUCAUAUAACCUUUGGUAGAGUUUUUCUUUCUUUAUCUAGUAAAGCAAGGUAUAUCUUCAUUCGUGGAUAUCCUUCUUGCACUAGUCUUCAUAAAAAAAUCCUAGAGAUAGAGAAGGAAUCAUCUCCCAAACGAGGAAAGGAAGUUUCAAUAGCCGAUUUCCAAACAUUUCAAUCCCAUGAUUCAGCUAUCCAACCCAAACUAGUUGUGCUCCAAAAUCAUCUAAGGGAAGAAGAAAUUCUACCUUUGGAAAUUCAUUUUGGGAUGAGCUUAAACUUCCUGCUUCAUAAGAGACCUUUGAGUGCAUAUAGUCUGAACCUUCCUAAGAGGGAUCUCUUAGAAAGCAUCUCAAAUCCAAUCCCUCUGAUGGAAAUCUAGAAAGACUCAAGGAUGGCGUCUUAAGUGAUGCAAUAGAAGGAAAGCAAACCCAUUUAGAAGACAAUCUCAUCUUCUCCCCUUCUACGCCCACUUUUGAUGACUUAUUUGAACCUAUCUUUAAACCCAUCCUUGAGCCUAAUAAUUUCUACUAUGCUCUUUCUCUUGAACCUCCCGAUGAUCAUAUGAACCUCUCUAGACAUCCCAUGCAUAAGAGUCACCAAGACCAUAAGGAGGAUCGAGAAGAGCAACAUCAAUGGCUAGAGGGCAUUAAAAAUCCAUGUGCUAUCACCAUUGAAUGGAUGGACAAGGAAGAAGCCUUAAUGGAU
RNAcentral lists this long non-coding RNA (7636 nucleotides) under Sorghum bicolor (sorghum). RNAcentral describes it as "long non-coding RNA (SBIC_LNC000806)". The record is from RNAcentral. Lineage: Eukaryota; Viridiplantae; Streptophyta; Magnoliopsida; Poales; Poaceae.